Molecule: ribosomal RNA, 460 nt
Filed under: uncultured bacterium
Lineage: Bacteria
Description: partial 16S ribosomal RNA
Rfam family: Bacterial small subunit ribosomal RNA
Source: RNAcentral
CCUACGGGAGGCAGCAGUGAGGAAUAUUGGUCAAUGGACGAGAGUCUGAACCAGCCAAGUAGCGUGAAGGAUGACUGCCCUAUGGGUUGUAAACUUCUUUUAUAAAGGAAUAAAACGAGGCACGUGUGCCUUAUUGCAUGUACUUUAUGAAUAAGGAUCGGCUAACUCCGUGCCAGCAGCCGCGGUAAUACGGAGGAUCCGAGCGUUAUCCGGAUUUAUUGGGUUUAAAGGGAGCGUAGAUGGGAUGUCAAGUCAGUUGUGAAAGUUUGCGGCUCAACCGUAAAAUUGCAAUUGAUACUGGCAGUCUUGAGUACAGUUGAGGUAGGCGGAAUUCGUGGUGUAGCGGUGAAAUGCUUAGAUAUCACGAAGAACCCCGAUUGCGAAGGCAGCUUACUAAACUGUGACUGACAUUGAUGCUCGAAAGUGUGGGUAUCAAACAGGAUUAGAUACCCUGGUAGUC